Molecule: small nuclear RNA, 107 nt
Filed under: Microcebus murinus (gray mouse lemur)
Lineage: Eukaryota; Metazoa; Chordata; Mammalia; Primates; Cheirogaleidae
Source: RNAcentral
GUGCUCGCUUCAGCAGCAUAUAUACUAAAAUUGGAAUGAUACAGAGAAGAUUAGCAUGGCCCCUGUGCAAGGAUGAUACGCAAAUUCGUGAAGCAUUCCAUAUUUUU